CGCAACCCAAUCUGCUACACCAUUAGCCUCCCGUCUACAGUGUCGAAGGUGGAGAUUAGGGUAAAGGGACAAUAAACCGUCGACUUUAGCGAACAGGGCUCUUUCUUCCCACGGUGGCGAUCUCCAUUUUGUGACGAUUUCAAUCAUUCGGAGGCAAUCUGAUUCGAUCAGCAUAUGCUCUUUGUGAAGCCCUUGGUGCAGUAGAUGAUGAAGUGUCGAGAUAAGCGCUUGAAUCUCUGCUUGAAAAGCUGAAGUAGCUAGGAAUCUUCGUGUAAAAACAUCGGAGGUCUCCACAACUGAGCAGGGCUGAGGACAAUUAGAUCUGAUCGGUGAAGAUUGGGGUCGGAGAUUUGAUGGAUCCGGGUCUGUGUGAUGGCGUCCUCCACUGCAAGGCUUGGAUUUGGUCACUGACGGCGGAAUAUGUAGCUAUUGCGCAUACACCAUAUCUGCCAUAACACAUUGGCUAUCGUUUCCAAUCCAGGUUCUGAAGGGAGGUGCAAAUUUCUUGGUCUCGGCAUGGGGUUUGCGUUACCAUCAACUAGUGGGGGCUUGAAAGGAACAAUCGGUAGCAAAGUAG
Long non-coding RNA from Eucalyptus grandis, 577 nucleotides. RefSeq lists it as uncharacterized. The transcript is spliced from 3 exons. The record is from RefSeq and is a predicted model, not a curated record. NCBI's taxonomy places the organism in Eukaryota, Viridiplantae, Streptophyta, Magnoliopsida, Myrtales, Myrtaceae.